UGUCUCCUCCACCCUCCUCUAUUGGUGGAUUCGGCCCGAGGCCUCACGGCCCCGGGCCUUUUUCU
This 65-nucleotide non-coding RNA is filed under the name Caldimonas brevitalea. RNAcentral's name for it is "[Polyangium] brachysporum Betaproteobacteria toxic small RNA". It matches the Rfam family "Betaproteobacteria toxic small RNA". Rfam says of the family: Overexpression in amino aid rich medium attenuates growth, suggesting role in repressing amino acid intake and metabolism. Lineage: Bacteria; Pseudomonadati; Pseudomonadota; Betaproteobacteria; Burkholderiales; Sphaerotilaceae. The record is from Rfam by way of RNAcentral.